RNAcentral lists this unclassified non-coding RNA (206 nucleotides) under Hevea brasiliensis (rubber tree). Lineage: Eukaryota; Viridiplantae; Streptophyta; Magnoliopsida; Malpighiales; Euphorbiaceae. The record is from RNAcentral.
UAGCUUGGGACUGUAAGAUUAAUUUAUUGAGUUGUAACUUAUUAAUCUGUGUGUGUAAUAUGUGGAUAGAUGGCUAUGUUGGAUGAGGGAGUUGGACUCUCAUUUGAUUUUAUAUUGAUUGUGGAUGAUUAUAAGGGUGAGCUGAGCUCCCCAAAUGGAUUUAUUUUGAGAUUACAGGUUAAGUGAGUUAAGAACUCCCCGUUGGA